Lathyrus oleraceus (garden pea) is the source of this 1323-nucleotide long non-coding RNA. RefSeq lists it as uncharacterized. The record is from RefSeq and is a predicted model, not a curated record. The transcript is spliced from 2 exons. NCBI's taxonomy places the organism in Eukaryota, Viridiplantae, Streptophyta, Magnoliopsida, Fabales, Fabaceae.
UCUUAAUUUGAUAAAAUGCUCUUUCGGUAGAAAACUUAGUUAUACACUGUUGACCUAGUUCCAUCUUCAUCUUUUCCAACUCUCUCUCUGCAUCAUAUAGUUGUUCACGAUCCAUUCACUCUUCCUACAAAGAAUUUCUAUGUCAUCCACUCCAAAAUCCAAGAUUAGUACCCCUUUCAAAACGGUGUGGAAGCAUGUCUCAGUCAAAGACUAGGAGUUGAACCUUGGAAACACAAUUUUUAUGGAAGGAUCAUUUGGUCUAAGGGUUUUAGAAAGUUCAAGAUUACCAUCUCUCUCAAAACGGUCAAAUCUUUUGUAGAAGCAGUCAAUAAUGUUUGUAACAUAUCUCAAAGUCAACUUCCGAUUCCCUAUGUUAAGGGAGUUAGACUUGCCAUUUCGAUUCUAGAAGAAAAAUAUAGAUGAGUAGAAUCUUGUAAACACAAAUUUCAUGGAAAGAUCAUUUGACUUAAGGGCUAUUCUCCUCUAUCAGUGGUUAGUUUCCGUCUUAAACUACGGUCUCUUUGGAGCUCAAUUGGAAAAUGAGGUAUUAUUUCUUUGGUUUAAGAUUUUUUCGAUUUUUCUUUCUCUAGCUUGGAAGAUGUGCACAUAGUGAGACCAGUAAACUUAUGGAAUCUGAACCCUAGAAUCAUGAAGCUCUUCCUUGGACAAAAGAUUAUGUCCUUUUUACACUUAAACAUACAUCAACCCAUGUACGAGUUUGAAUCCAUGGCUUAUCUCAAGAAUACUAGAGACAAAAGAUUAAUUUUGCUAUUUCCAGCAACAUUGGGACAUUUAUAUGCAUUGAAAAAGAUGAGAACAAUAUAGGCUGAAUUUGGGCCAAUAUAGGUUGAACUUGAAAAAAUAUGAGAAUAAUAUCUAUGAGAGUUCACGUGAUAUGAUGGCUUUAAACUGGUAACCUCAAAGAGAAAGAUCAAGAUAUGAUGGCUUUAAAAUGGUAACCUCAAAGAGAAAGAUCAAGAAACAUGUCUCAAAGAAAAAAGUCAUAACUAGGUUGAACCAUAGUAAUUUCAAAUUGUUCCAAUGAAGUGUCUCUUUUAGAAUAUUAGAGGUAUUGCCGAUGUAUCAUCUAGAUUGGCUCAUGAAAGAAUUAUGGUUAUUAACAAACCUCACUUGGUUUGCAUCGUUGAUCCCUAGAUGAAUUUCUACAACUUUCCCUUAAACCUUUUAACUUUUUGAUAUGAAUAAGAGAAUAAUAUGAUGUCAAACCUUUUUGGUGUUUUUGUAAACUUCACCUUGAUCCUAUCAUAUGAUGACCAACAAGUAUCCUUCAGUAUUAAUGAUCAAGUGUUUUGGUUUCUCUUC